ACCGCUUUAACGGUGAAACUGCGAAUGGCUCAUUAAAUCAGUUAUAGUUUAUUUGAUAGUCCCUUUUACUACUCGGAUAACCGUAGUAAAUCUAGAGCUAAUACGUGCGGAAAGGGCCGACUGGGGGGGGCAACCCCUUCGGAAGGCUCGUAUUUAUUAGAUACCAAACCGAUACGGGGCAUCCCAAACCGGCGAGGGGAAGACGGCGGCGGGCGACCGUCGUCGCCUCUCCCCUCGUCGGGUCCCGGUUCCUACUCGGUGAUUCAUGAUAACUUCGCGAAUCGCACGGCCUUGCGCCGGCGAUGAUUCAUUCGAAUUUCUGCCCUAUCAACUUUCGAUGGUAAGAUAGAGGCUUACCAUGGUGAUAACGGGUAACGGAGAAUUAGGGUUCGAUUCCGGAGAGGGAGCCUGAGAAACGGCUACCACUUCUAAGGAAGGCAGCAGGCGCGCAAAUUACCCAAUCCCGACACGGGGAGGUAGUGACAAUAAAUACCGAUACAGGUCUCUUUACGAGACUUGUAAUUGGAAUGAGAACAAUUCAAACCCCUUAACGAGGAACAAUUGGAGGGCAAGUCUGGUGCCAGCAGCCGCGGUAAUUCCAGCUCCAAUAGCGUAUAUUAAAGUUGUUGCAGUUAAAAAGCUCGUAGUUGAAUUUUGGAACGGGGCGAGGGGGCGAAAACCCUCUCGUCCGUACGGCGCCGGUCCGCCCCGAAGGGCGAGCACUGGUCCGUGCGUUCCCUCCUACCGGAGGCUCGCUCCUGCUCUUCGUUGAGUGGGAGUAUUCUCCAGGGGAGCGGGUGCGAAACCUCCUCGGAGGACCUUCGUCCGCUCUUUUUCCUGGGUUUCGUCGGGGCCGAGGGCCCCCCCUCGUCGAGGGACUCUUCGUCCCGCGGCGUAGGGGGGGUCGUCAAACGUCGGUUCCGGCGGAGCUCCGGUUCGUUUACCUUGAAUAAAUUAGAGUGUUCAAAGCAGGCAAGCACACGCCUAGAUACUUUAGCAUGGGAUAAUAGAAUAGGACUUGGGUUCUAUUUUCGUUGGUUCUUAGGACCGAAGUAAUGAUUAAUAGGGACGGUCGGGGGCAUUAGUAUUUAAUUGUCAGAGGUGAAAUUCUCGGAUUUAGGAAAGACUGACUUCAGCGAAAGCAUUUGCCAAGGACGUUUUCAUUAAUCAAGAACGAAAGUUAGGGGAUCGAAGACGAUCAGAUACCGUCGUAGUCUUAACCAUAAACGAUGCCGACCAGGGAUCGGGAGACGUUACCUCGAUGACUCUCCCGGCACCUUGCGGGAAACCACAAGUCUUUGGGUUCCGGGGGGAGUAUGGUCGCAAGGCUGAAACUUAAAGGAAUUGACGGAAGGGCACCACCAGGAGUGGAGCCUGCGGCUUAAUUUGACUCAACACGGGGAAACUUACCAGGUCCGGACAUAGGAAGGAUUGACAGAUCGAUAGCUCUUUCUUGAUUCUAUGGGUGGUGGUGCAUGGCCGUUCUUAGUUGGUGGAGCGAUUUGUCUGGUUAAUUCCGUUAACGAACGAGACCUCGGCCUGCUAAAUAGCCGUGCGAACCCUUCCGCCCCAAAGAGGAUACGGCUCGGGGGGAGUCACGUCGGCUUCUACUUGCCCCUUCGCGGGGGAGAGAGGGGAGUCGGCGCCCUCCGCGGUCGCCCUCUGGUGGGGUUCGUAAAGGCGCUUCUUAGAGGGACUAUGCAAUCCCAGUGCAUGGAAGUUCGAGGCAAUAACAGGUCUGUGAUGCCCUUUAGAUGUUAUGGGCCGCACGCGCGCUACACUGACAAGCUCAACGAGCGUAACUUCUCCUUGGCCGGAAGGUCCGGGUAAUCUUGGAAAGCUUGUCGUGCUGGGGAUAGAUCCUUGCAAUUAUGGAUCUUCAACGAGGAAUUCCUAGUAAGCGCGAGUCAUCAGCUCGCGUUGAUUACGUCCCUGCCCUUUGUACACACCGCCCGUCGCUCCUACCGAUUGAACGGUCCGGUGAAGUCUUCGGAGCACGGUUCACGCUCGGUCGGGGCAACUCGGCCGGGUAGGAUCGCGCAAAGUCGACUAAACCUUAUCGUUUAGAGGAA
RNAcentral lists this ribosomal RNA (2072 nucleotides) under Stenamoeba sp. CRIB68. RNAcentral's name for it is "bacterial SSU rRNA". It matches the Rfam family "Eukaryotic small subunit ribosomal RNA". The record is from RNAcentral. Lineage: Eukaryota; Discosea; Longamoebia; Thecamoebida.